UACGUAGGGUGCAAGCGUUGUCCGGAAUCAUUGGGCGUAAAGCGCGCGUAGGUGGCUUUGUAAGUCCGUUGUGAAAGUCAAAGGCUCAACCUUUGAAUGCCGAUGGAUACUGCGGAGCUAGAGUACGGAAGAGGCGAGUGGAAUUCCUGGUGUAGCGGUGAAAUGCGCAGAUAUCAGGAGGAACACCAAUGGCGAAGGCAGCUCGCUGGGACGGUAUUGACGCUGAGACGCGAAAGCGUGGGGAGCAAACAGG
RNAcentral lists this ribosomal RNA (253 nucleotides) under uncultured bacterium. RNAcentral describes it as "partial 16S ribosomal RNA". It matches the Rfam family "Bacterial small subunit ribosomal RNA", at positions 524 to 776 of the family's 1533-position model. The record is from RNAcentral.